CAGUAGGGAAUCUUCGGCAAUGGGCGAAAGCCUGACCGAGCAACGCCGCGUGAGCGAUGAAGGCCUUCGGGUCGUAAAGCUCUGUUGUUAGAGAAGAACAAGUACGAGAGUAACUGCUCGUACCUUGACGGUACCUAACCAGAAAGCCACGGCUAACUACGUGCCAGCAGCCGCGGUAAUACGUAGGUGGCAAGCGUUAUCCGGAAUUAUUGGGCGUAAAGCGCGCGCAGGCGGUCUCUUAAGUCUGAUGUGAAAGCCCACGGCUCAACCGUGGAGGGUCAUUGGAAACUGGGAGACUUGAGUGCAGGAGAGAAAAGUGGAAUUCCACGUGUAGCGGUGAAAUGCGUAGAGAUGUGGAGGAACACCAGUGGCGAAGGCGGCUUUUUGGCCUGUAACUGACGCUGAGGCGCGAAAGCGUGGGGAGCAAACAGGAUUAGAUACCCUGGUAGUCCACGCCGUAAACGAUGAGUGCUAGGUGUUGGGGGGUUCCAC
This 492-nucleotide ribosomal RNA is filed under the name uncultured Bacillus sp. RNAcentral describes it as "bacterial SSU rRNA". It matches the Rfam family "Bacterial small subunit ribosomal RNA", at positions 352 to 836 of the family's 1533-position model. The record is from RNAcentral. Lineage: Bacteria; Bacillati; Bacillota; Bacilli; Caryophanales; Bacillaceae.